CGGGUGAGUAAUACAUCGGAACGUGCCCAGUAGUGGGGAUAACCCGGCGAAAGCCGGACUAAUACCGCAUACGACCUACGGGUGAAAGCAGGGGAUCGCAAGACCUUGCGCUAUCGGAGCGGCCGAUGUCAGAUUAGCUUGUUGGUGGGGUAAAAGCCCACCAAGGCGACGAUCUGCAGCUGGUCUGAGAGGACGACCAGCCACACUGGGACUGAGACACGGCCCAG
RNAcentral lists this ribosomal RNA (227 nucleotides) under uncultured bacterium. RNAcentral describes it as "partial 16S ribosomal RNA". It matches the Rfam family "Bacterial small subunit ribosomal RNA", at positions 103 to 334 of the family's 1533-position model. The record is from RNAcentral.